This is a non-coding RNA of Grammomys surdaster, 514 nucleotides long. Lineage: Eukaryota; Metazoa; Chordata; Mammalia; Rodentia; Muridae. The record is from the annotation of a RefSeq genome assembly.
GCAGAGGAGCUUGGCUCUGGAUCCCAAGACUUCUUAUUCACUCCUCAACAUGGAGUUGAAACUGAGCUUAAUUUUCAUUUUUGCCCUUUUAAAAGAUGUCCAUUGUGAAGUGCAACUGGUGGAGACUGGAGGAGGCUUGGUGAAACCUGGGAGUUCUCUCACACUCUCUUGUGCAGCCUCAGGAUUUGAUUUCAGUAGCUACUGGAUGUACUGGUUUCGACAGACACCUGGGAAGGCUCUGGAGUGGAUCGGAAAUAUUAAAUAUGAUGGCAGUGCAACAAACUACGCACCAUCCAUAAAGGGUCGAUUCACUAUCUCCAGAGACAAUUCCAAGAGCACCCUGUACUUGCAGAUGAGCAAUGUGAGAUCUGAGGACACGGCCACUUAUUACUGUACAAGAGACACAAUGAAUGAACUGCAGUGUGAGACCAGACAUAAACCUCACUGUCAUACCACUCUGAACCACCAGGGGGUGCACAGUACAUGCAGAACUGUGGUUCAGACCAGAUUAUAA